UACGGAGGGUGCAAGCGUUAAUCGGAAUUACUGGGCGUAAAGCGCGCGUAGGCGGCUUGUUAAGCGAGAUGUGAAAGCCCCGGGCUUAACCUGGGAACUGCAUUUCGAACUGGCAGGCUUGAGUACAGCAGAGGUAAGUGGAAUUUCUUGUGUAGCGGUGAAAUGCGUAGAUAUAAGAAGGAACACCAGUGGCGAAGGCGACUUACUGGGCUGAUACUGACGCUGAGGUGCGAAAGCGUGGGGAGCGAACAGG
RNAcentral lists this ribosomal RNA (253 nucleotides) under uncultured bacterium. RNAcentral describes it as "partial 16S ribosomal RNA". It matches the Rfam family "Bacterial small subunit ribosomal RNA", at positions 524 to 776 of the family's 1533-position model. The record is from RNAcentral.